Molecule: ribosomal RNA, 140 nt
Filed under: Lachnospiraceae bacterium
Lineage: Bacteria; Bacillati; Bacillota; Clostridia; Lachnospirales; Lachnospiraceae
Description: partial 23S ribosomal RNA
Rfam family: Bacterial large subunit ribosomal RNA
Source: RNAcentral
CUGAAGGCAUCUAAGCGUGAAGCCCCCCUCAAGAUGAGAUAUCCCAAGACCCCUUGAAGACGACGAGGUAGAUAGGGCAGGGGUGGAAGUGCAGUAAUGUACGGAGCUGACUGCUACUAAUCGGUCGCAAGCUUAUCCAU